GGUCCUACGGGGGGCAGCAGUGAGGAAUUUUGCGCAAUGGGCGAAAGCCUGACGCAGCAACGCCGCGUGAGUGAUGAAGGCCUUCGGGUCGUAAAGCUCUGUCAAGUGGGAAGAACCUAUAUAAUGAUAAUACCAUUAUAUACUGACGGUACCACUGAAGGAAGCACCGGCUAACUCCGUGCCAGCAGCCGCGGUAAUACGGGGGGUGCAAGCGUUAUUCGGAAUCAUUGGGCGUAAAGAGCACGUAGGCGGCCUGGUAAGUCAGAUGUGAAAGCCCGGGGCUUAACCCCGGAAGUGCAUUUGAUACUGCCAGACUUGAGUAUGGGAGAGGGAAGUGGAAUUCCUGGUGUAGAGGUGAAAUUCGUAGAUAUCAGGAGGAACACCGGUGGCGAAGGCGACUUCCUGGACCAAUACUGACGCUGAGGUGCGAAGGCGUGGGUAGCAAACAGGAUUAGAUACCCUGGUAGUCAUA
RNAcentral lists this ribosomal RNA (472 nucleotides) under uncultured Desulfosarcina sp. RNAcentral describes it as "bacterial SSU rRNA". It matches the Rfam family "Bacterial small subunit ribosomal RNA", at positions 335 to 798 of the family's 1533-position model. Lineage: Bacteria; Pseudomonadati; Thermodesulfobacteriota; Desulfobacteria; Desulfobacterales; Desulfosarcinaceae. The record is from RNAcentral.